CAGCGCCACAAGUGGGAAUCGUGUUUAUUGGGCCUAAAGCGUCCGUAGCCGGUUUAGUAAAUCUUUUGUGAAAUCUCUAGGCUCAACCUGGAGGCGUGCAGAAGAGACUGCUAAACCAGGGACCGGGAGGAGUCAGAAGUAUGGGGUGGGGAGCGGUAAAAUGUGAUAAUCCACCUUAGACUACCUGUGGCGAAGGCGUCUGACUAGAACGGGUCCGACGGUGAGGGACGAAAGCCAGGGGAGCGAUCCGGAUUAGAUACCCGCGUAGUCC
Molecule: ribosomal RNA, 271 nt
Filed under: uncultured archaeon
Lineage: Archaea
Description: partial 16S ribosomal RNA
Rfam family: Archaeal small subunit ribosomal RNA
Source: RNAcentral